UCCUAGACGGCUCAGAUGGUAAAGAAUCUGCCUGCAAUGCAGGAGUCCCCAGGUUCUAUCCCUGGGUUAGGAA
Molecule: transfer RNA, 73 nt
Filed under: Ovis aries (sheep)
Lineage: Eukaryota; Metazoa; Chordata; Mammalia; Artiodactyla; Bovidae
Rfam family: tRNA
About the family: Transfer RNA (tRNA) molecules are approximately 80 nucleotides in length. Their secondary structure includes four short double-helical elements and three loops (D, anti-codon, and T loops).
Source: Rfam by way of RNAcentral